AGCGCUUUGUUUACACCCGUGGAGGGGUGUUGUCCCUAUUCUUGGUUACGCUGUGGAGCAAAAGAAUCCCCGCCUCUUCCACACAGCCCACUUUGCGCCGUCCCGCUGUUGCUACAUGGAGUUGAGGAGCGUAA
This 134-nucleotide small nucleolar RNA is filed under the name Sus scrofa (pig). RNAcentral's name for it is "Small nucleolar RNA SNORA46 (ENSSSCG00070028306.1)". Lineage: Eukaryota; Metazoa; Chordata; Mammalia; Artiodactyla; Suidae. The record is from RNAcentral.